Molecule: long non-coding RNA, 585 nt
Organism: Oncorhynchus keta (chum salmon)
Lineage: Eukaryota; Metazoa; Chordata; Actinopteri; Salmoniformes; Salmonidae
Exons: 6
Source: RefSeq, a predicted model, not a curated record
GCUGUCCAUCCAAUCCAUUCCAGCCAUGGAGGACGAGGAAGAGGUGAAGUCGUGCACUGUGAAAGAGGGAGGAAGAGGAGGAAGAGGUGAAGUCGUGCACUGUGAACGAGGGAGGAAGAGGUGAAGUCAUGCACUGUGAAAGAGGGAGGACGAGGAGGAAGAGGUGAAGUCGUGCACUGUGAAAGAGGGAGGACGAGGAGGAAGAGGUGAAGUCGUGCACUGUGAAAGAGGGAGGACGAGGAGGAAGAGGUGAAGUCGUGCACUGUGAAAGAGGGAGGAGGACGAGGAAGAGGUGAAGUCGUGCACUGUGAACGAGGGAGGAAGAGGUGAAGUCAUGCACUGUGAAAGAGGGAGGAAAAGGAAGAGGUGAAGUCGUGCACUGUGAAAGAGGGAGGACGAGGAGGAAGAGGUGAAGUCGUGCAGUGUGAAGGAGGGAGGAAGAGGUGAAGUCAUGCAGUGUGAAGGAGGGAGGAAGAGGUGAAGUCAUGCAGUGUGAAGGAGGGAGGAAGAGGUGAAGUCAUGCAGUGUGAAGGAGGGAGGAAGAGGAAGAGGUGAAGUCAUGCAGUGUGAAGGAGGGAGGAAGAG